CCUUCACUUGGGGGGAGCCGCGGUGCGGCGGCUGAGAGGUUCCCGGUUCGGAACGACCCCUGAACCUGAUCCGGUUCGCACCGGCGGAGGAACAAGUGCGCAUGCCAUG
RNAcentral lists this non-coding RNA (109 nucleotides) under Tistrella mobilis. RNAcentral describes it as "TPP sequence". It matches the Rfam family "TPP riboswitch aptamer (THI element)". From Rfam's summary of the family: Vitamin B(1) in its active form thiamin pyrophosphate (TPP) is an essential coenzyme that is synthesised by coupling of pyrimidine and thiazole moieties in bacteria. The previously detected thiamin-regulatory element, thi box was extended, resulting in a new, highly conserved RNA secondary structure, the THI element, which is widely distributed in eubacteria and also occurs in some archaea. The record is from RNAcentral. RNAcentral also lists the same sequence under 1 other name. Lineage: Bacteria; Pseudomonadati; Pseudomonadota; Alphaproteobacteria; Geminicoccales; Geminicoccaceae.